AGCUCUGGUGGUGUAGUGGUUACAUGUCCUCUUUAAUUGGCUACUAAUGAUUCAGUGUUAUGAGGAAGUGCCUUGUUCGAUUCGGGGUCAGGCUA
This is a non-coding RNA of Mycena metata, 95 nucleotides long. NCBI's taxonomy places the organism in Eukaryota, Fungi, Basidiomycota, Agaricomycetes, Agaricales, Mycenaceae. The record is from the annotation of a GenBank genome assembly.